This 69-nucleotide transfer RNA is filed under the name Macaca nemestrina (pig-tailed macaque). Its description in RNAcentral is "tRNA-His". It matches the Rfam family "tRNA". From Rfam's summary of the family: Transfer RNA (tRNA) molecules are approximately 80 nucleotides in length. Their secondary structure includes four short double-helical elements and three loops (D, anti-codon, and T loops). Lineage: Eukaryota; Metazoa; Chordata; Mammalia; Primates; Cercopithecidae. The record is from RNAcentral.
GUAAAUAUAGUUUAACUAAAACAUUAGAUUGUGAAUCUAACUACAGAGGCUUACCACCUCUUAUUUACC